GACGAACGCCGGCGGCGUGCUUAACACAUGCAAGUCGAACGGAAAGGCCCUGCUUUUGUGGGGUGCUCGAGUGGCGAACGGGUGAGUAACACGUGAGUAACCUGCCCUUGACUUUGGGAUAACUUCAGGAAACUGGGGCUAAUACCGGAUAGGAGCUCCUGCUGCAUGGUGGGGGUUGGAAAGUUUCGGCGGUUGGGGAUGGACUCGCGGCUUAUCGGCUUGUUGGUGGGGUAGUGGCUUACCAAGGCUUUGACGGGUAGCCGGCCUGAGAGGGUGACCGGCCACAUUGGGACUGAGAUACGGCCCAGACUCCUACGGGAGGCAGCAGUGGGGAAUAUUGCACAAUGGGCGGAAGCCUGAUGCAGCAACGCCGCGUGCGGGAUGACGGCCUUCGGGUUGUAAACCGCUUUCGCCUGUGACGAAGCGUGAGUGACGGUAAUGGGUAAAGAAGCACCGGCUAACUACGUG
RNAcentral lists this ribosomal RNA (468 nucleotides) under uncultured bacterium. Its description in RNAcentral is "partial 16S ribosomal RNA". It matches the Rfam family "Bacterial small subunit ribosomal RNA", at positions 28 to 507 of the family's 1533-position model. The record is from RNAcentral.